This 119-nucleotide ribosomal RNA is filed under the name Triticum aestivum (bread wheat). The record is from RNAcentral. Lineage: Eukaryota; Viridiplantae; Streptophyta; Magnoliopsida; Poales; Poaceae. RNAcentral also lists the same sequence under 2 other names.
GGAUGCGAUCAUACCAGCACUAAAGCACCGGAUCCCAUUAGAACUCCGAAGUUAAGCGUGCUUGGGCGAGAGUAGUACUAGGAUGGGUGACCUCCUGGGAAGUCCUCAUGUUGCAUUCC